AGGAGGAACAACCACAGUGGCAGCGGCCAGCUAUGGAAACCUUGAUUCAGCCCCCGCAGUAACUCCGGAGGUCUCCGUCUGCAGGGCCUGGAGGCUCUGGGGCGGG
RNAcentral lists this microRNA precursor (106 nucleotides) under Canis lupus familiaris (dog). RNAcentral's name for it is "mir-8834 microRNA precursor family". It matches the Rfam family "mir-8834 microRNA precursor family". Lineage: Eukaryota; Metazoa; Chordata; Mammalia; Carnivora; Canidae. The record is from Rfam by way of RNAcentral. RNAcentral also lists the same sequence under 1 other name.